UUUUUUUUUUUUUUUUUCUCAGAGCCCUUACUGCAAAGUCUUCUGGGAUCAGAAGAGCCCUUAUCAAUCAUUCAGCCUCCACACUGUAGAACUCUUAGUCUCAGAUCCCAGAAUUACUGAACCUUCUAGGAAACAUAGCAGACAGCCAAAUCAAAUGCCCUCAUUUUUCAGCUGAUACACUGCAGUCAUGUAGACAAAAAGGCUGAUCCCAUCACAACAGUGACAGAGAUCCCGGAGUCCACUUUUUUCCCAGGCAGAGCCCUCAGCCUUAGGUCACCAGCCUCCAUCACCACCAAUAUCAUUCUAGUGACUAAAUGUACUUUAUCACUGGGAUGUUCUUACACAGAGCUAAACUAAGUUAUCUAGGAUCAAGUUCAAUGUCAUUUCUUCUCAUUCAAUCCUCAAGUGGAGAGAGCAAAAUGCUGGCUGCCUUCUCUUAAAAAAAUCUAUAUACCAAAUGAUGUUUUUUUCAUAGGACUUCAGAUAAGAAGAAAUCUCAAGAGAUUAUCUUAUCUACCUUGCAACUGGGCAUUACUAAACAGAGAACAAAACAGCUAGAAACCUCCUCCAUAACUACGGAUUUCCAAGAAAGGCAAUGUUUUGGCAAAUUUAGGACACAGAAGUGUUUGAGCUCAUUUACCAAUAAAUGUAGGCAAAAUAUAAUCUCCCUAUGCAAGUAAGAAAUACUAUGGGGAGUUCCCAUCGUGGCGCAUGGUUAAUGAAUCCGACUAGGAACCAUGAGCCACAAUAGGCACUCCAACUAUUACAUUUAAAAUAUGGUGUUUACUUUUUGCGGGAUUUUGUGUGUGUGUGAUUUUUCCACAAAAGAGAUCAUUGUAACAAAGCAGAUGACAGAUUUAAUUUUAUCAUCAACUUUCUGCUAUAUUCUUUGAUAAGAUUAUCCAGAACACAUGAAGACUGUCCAAUAUGUAUUUGUUCAUUCACGAAAAAAAAGUUUGUGAACUGAUUUCUGCUCUCUUCCUCUCCAGAGAACUGAUUGCAUUUUUCCUCUUUCUCUAACAUGUAUAGAGUACCUGUUGCCAUGGCAAUCACUGAUUUAGCACAACAUGUUUUUUCCUCCUUCUUUUAAAAAAUUAGUUUCCAUUCCUGCCAAGAAGGAACAUAUUAAUCUACCCAUUAUGCUAGCUUAGGGAAGUUGAAAGCCAUACAAGUUGUCAUUUACACAGAUUCCCAGAAAGUCGGUUGUUAGUAUCUUUUGUGCCAAGAACUCUCCCCUUGUCCCAGAGAGGAAAUGGGACACUGAAAUGAAAGAGUCUGUAGCUAAGGAGGUAGCAUCUCUCUUCUUUUCCACAAAGUUUCCCUGCAGGGUACGGAACCUCAAACUCCCAAACAUCUUGUCUGCCUAAACUCUCUUACUGGAUAAAGCUUUAACAGACCACUGCUGUCCAGAAAACAGGGAUUAAAUAGACAACACUUUUUAAGACAAAAAUGUACUUUAGUCUACUUACUUCGGCAAUAAAGCCAAAAUAAUAACAACAAUGAAAACAAUUAAAAAACAAUAAAAAAAAAUCCUUUGAGGUGACUAAUAUAAGAAGUAGGAAACCCUUGUUGAAGAAACCAAAAUCAACUGUUCCAUUCUUGAUGAAACAACAAGUCCUGCCUGAGUCUCCUGAUGGACUAAAUUCUUUCUAGUAUUAGGUAACUCAGAUAUUAAAUCUGAUCUAGCCUUGCUAUUCAGACCUCAAAAUGCCUAUAAACAUACCUCUCGAGAACUAUGUCCAGGCUUGUCUUAGGACAAUGGUCUGCGCUAGCUUGGAUUUUUAUAACUGACAUUCCAAUCUGGGAAGGCUAGAUUCUUCCCAGUUUCUCAAGUCAAAUCCACUGGCUUUCCUGGCUGUGGGGCUCCAUAAAUCUGCCUACCCGCUAAUGGGAAAGGCCACAUACUUGGGUCAGAGCACUGAAGUCAGGAACAGAGGUUGACUUUCUGACCUAUUUACUGCUCCCCAAAAUUUCUGACCUAUUUACUGCUCUCAGGGAAGAAAGACAGUGUCAGGAAGAGACACAAAAGGGGAACUGAAGGCUUUUCCAUUUUCAGAAAUGUCUGCUUAUUAUCAGAGUAAUGAAAGCUCAAAAUUAAGACAUGGGAAAGGAGAGAUUAGAGAUGGGAAGUUAAAGCCAUUCCUUAUCCAAAGCUUUACAGAACUGGAUCACGGCUACCUAAAAGCCUCAAAGCAUUAACGGCCUGCUGUAAAGGAGAGAAGGUGAGAGAGAGAAUCAUUCGUUUUCACUAAUAGCUUGCAUGAAGAAUGAACACACACUUUUUAAACAGACCCUUAAAACGGUCCUUGAAACUGACUCUUAAAUACUUUUAAAAUUCAGCAUAUUUACUAUUAUUUUCCACUAGGAGAAAAAAAAAAAAAAAAAAAAAAAAAGACCUGGCCAUGCAUUUCCUUUUAACAUCAUGGAAGUGGGUAAGGGCUUAAACAGAAGAAAGAUAUUACUUCCUGAAACCUUGGAUGUUCUGCUGAAAACACCCUUAAAGGAAUGCAUCUGCUAAAAAGCAAAAACAUCUGAUAAAAUGCUUUUAAAGAAAUUGGUUCCUAAAGAAUAAUGUGAGAAAUAUGUCACUGGGAGUGUUCAAUUGCACCAAGACCAUUCUUCUGCUUUAGAUCCUCAGCUCACAGACAGAAAGUAUUGAUUAAUUAGCAGCAAUUUGAAAGGCAUCACCUUUUCCGUAGAUGUCAGUUGUUCACUCAACUGUGGAUCUCAAAGGUGACAUGAAUCCAUGGAUGGUUUACAAACCACUUACAGCCCAGAUUUUAAUUCUGCUGCCAAUAAUAAUGAUAAUAAAAGUAAAAAUACCACCAUUCUAUUCUAAUACUUAAUACAAAUGUAAGAUCAUUAGAAAACCAUGAUAGAAAUUUGAAAGUAAUGUAUCCCAAAAUAAGACUGCAACAAAAGAUAACAGACAAUACAACAGCUUUUUCAAUUAACUACACAGCCAGGAAAAAAUAAUUGAAAAUGAAAAAGUAUGAUCAGAAAUACCUGAUUAACUCAUUAAUAUUUUCUGGAAUCUAAUGCUCCAUUAAAAAGAGGGGAAAAAAAUGUUACUGCUGUAAAAGGCUAUUCUCAGAGUUCCCACCAUGGCUCAGUGGAAACAAAUCUGACUGGCAUCCAUGAGGACACAGGUUUGAUCCAGGGCCUCACUCAGUGGGUUAAGGAUCGACUGUU
This 3192-nucleotide long non-coding RNA is filed under the name Sus scrofa (pig). RNAcentral's name for it is "lncRNA (ENSSSCG00055019004.1)". The record is from RNAcentral. Lineage: Eukaryota; Metazoa; Chordata; Mammalia; Artiodactyla; Suidae.